AUUGAACGCUGGCGGCAUGCCUUACACAUGCAAGUCGAACGGCAGCAUGGAAGAGCUUGCUCUUCUGAUGGCGAGUGGCGAACGGGUGAGUAAAGCAUCGGAACGUACCGUGUAGUGGGGGAUAACGUAGCGAAAGUUACGCUAAUACCGCAUACGCACUGAGGUGGAAAGCAGGGAAUCGCAAGACCUUGCGCUAUACGAGCGGCCGAUGUCAGAUUAGCUAGUUGGUAGGGUAAAGGCCUACCAAGGCGACGAUCUGUAGCGGGUCUGAGAGGAUGAUCCGCCACACUGGGACUGAGACACGGCCCAGACUCCUACGGGAGGCAGCAGUGGGGAAUUUUGGACAAUGGGCGAAAGCCUGAUCCAGCCAUGCCGCGUGAGUGAAGAAGGCCU
RNAcentral lists this ribosomal RNA (393 nucleotides) under uncultured bacterium. Its description in RNAcentral is "bacterial SSU rRNA". It matches the Rfam family "Bacterial small subunit ribosomal RNA", at positions 30 to 417 of the family's 1533-position model. The record is from RNAcentral.